GAAGAGGCUGGUCUGGCGCGACCAACCAGACCCCCGUCUGAUCCCACGCGCGACUGAACCACGAAGAGAGGAGAGGGGGCCGACUGCUCUCGCCCUCGACGCUGCUCACCUACCACCAGAUCGAGGAGAGGAACAUCAGAUCGGAGGAGGAGAAAAGGGGAUCGAGGGAAGAGAAGGGAUCGAGGGUUUCGGGAGGCUGGCGACCUGGCUGAUCCACCGCGAGGCCUCUCCGCUCUGACCGACGCCCGCGCUGCUCUUCUCCUACCCCGACCGCGAGGCCUCUCCGCUCUGACCGACGCCCGCGCUGCUCUUCUCCUACCCCGACGACCGCGCUGCUCUUCUCCAACCUCAACGACCGCUGCUGAUCUUCUCCAACACCGACGCCCGCAUCGCUCUGCUUCAACUCAGACGCCCGUUGCAGCUGUUCGUCCCCAACUCCGAUGAUAGCCGCUGUGGCAUCUCCUGCGGGGCGCCGGACUCCUGGUGAUUCUUUGCUCCGGGUGGUCGGCUGAUCUCCCGUGAAGGCCACCACGAUUCCUUCACAAGGCCGGGACCUCUGCUGUUCUCCUUCGCCUGCAACAUCUACAGCUUCGAAUUGAAGCUCACCAAGACCAUAGGCUCUGAACUUCUCUCUUCUCCUGUCAUUGUUUUCUGAAUAUAUGCAUUGUUGGAUCUGAAAAUUGCUCUGUUUCCUAUGUACCCUUGCUGAAAUCUCAUGUAUUCUUGCUGGAUGGUUGUGACACUUGCUGAAUAUUCAGAUAGUAGUUAUUCUCCUGUGAGCUGCUGUCAUUUUAAUUGAUUGCAUGAGUGUGUG
RNAcentral lists this ribosomal RNA (814 nucleotides) under Triticum aestivum (bread wheat). RNAcentral describes it as "partial small subunit ribosomal RNA". Lineage: Eukaryota; Viridiplantae; Streptophyta; Magnoliopsida; Poales; Poaceae. The record is from RNAcentral.